UCUCUUCAUCUAGUAGUCUUUCCCUAGUGAAAUAGCUGGAUAAGGCGCUUCCUUCUCUCUUUUUUCUGUGUGUUGCUGUAUGAAGAAGGAAGAUCUGAGACCGAGAGGUCACUUCCAGAUUCAAAGGAGGGAAGGGGCACUUGUAUUCGUCAUAAAGGUCAAGAAUGAAGUGGAAAAGUCUCAUAUUUUUGUGCAAGCGGCCUAUAGAGAGUUAAGGCAAAUACCCCAUCCCGGUCGAUCAUAGAGUGAAUUUCGAAUUCCGACUAAAUGGGGAAUUGUGUGAUGAGAGGGUGCAAUCAUCUUCUCUUUGUAUUCAUUUCUUUCAUUCAGCCUAUCACUCAUUUCACAUCGCACUAAAGCCUAAAUGGAAGAGGUCCGGCCAUGGGAUCGUCCAUCGUCCACAGUCGUAGAUAUUAGGUACUUUGAGCCGUUCUUAUCCUUAUAAUCAUAAGAAAGGGCUAUGGGUCCUCGUUCUUCAUUCAAAUCUAGCCUGGUUCUUGAAUGAAUGAGAUAAGGAGAUCUCCAAGGAAAAAAGCCUAACCUUUAGGUCAAGACAUAGAAAUCCAAGGAAAAUCAGUGAGAAGCCAGGGCCCUAGCCAUAUCGCAAUUUACGUGGAUGAGUUCGAAACUCAAGGCCUUAUUUCUGACUGAAAGCACUCCACUCCUCUCCGUCGAGUCAUUCCUCUCCCGUGUAGUGGGGAUCCGCAACUGAGAAUGACCUUUGUGAAAUGACCUGGCUUCUGGAAAGAUUACCUUGAUGGUGGAUCCUAGGGGUGGAGAUCUCAUCUUCUUCAACCUCUAAUUCCUUGUCUUCCUACCCACGGAUGAAAGAGAUCGGUCGAGGAUCUAGAGCCUAUCAGUAAAGGUUCACGCUUCAUUCUACUUCUUCUUCCGCACUACAAUGGCCCGAUCCACCAUCAGACUUAGGGGUAGGAAUUUCUGAAAGAGGGGGCGUACUAUUAGACUGAAAGGCGAAGAAGACUACACUGAACCAAGACCCUAAUUAAAGGAAAUAGCUGGAAGGGUGGGGUGUGAACCCCGUGACUGAUGCGCGAUCUCCCAUUUUUAGGGAUGAGCCUAUGAGAAGCCUUGCCUGGCAAGGUCCGAAAAUCUAGCAUGAGAGAGUGAUGUUUCCAGGCUAUCCUCGUAUGGAUAAGAAAAGUUCUGAUUCACUGCCCUUGGCCUCGCCCUACUCCCGAAAAGAGUGAUGAUUGAAUUCACUAACCUAAAGACCGAUCAUAAGACUUUGCAUAGUCAAGUGAUUAAUAGUUUCAUUAUUAAAAAACGUUGAGUAAUUAAUAGUUUAUCAUUCAAAAGCGUGGAUGAAAGAGACUAUUUACAAGGGAUUGAGAAGAGGAAAGAAGACUGAGAAAAGUCUUAACAUCAUACUCCAGCUCUUGAUGAUUGGCCGCUCUUAUCAACUACUUAUUAUAGAAAGAUAUUUGCACCCCUUUAUGAAAGGAAUUCUGACUUUCGUGGGAGUGCAAGGCUGAAUUCAAGAUUUUCAUGCUCUUUUUCUCUUUUAUCAAGACUACUCUAUCCUAUGCGAAAUUAAACUACCACAGAUCGGGAAUAGGAGUGCAAGUGCGGAGCAUCUUUAAUGAAUUGAAUAUCAGAGCUUGAAGAGCUUUAUAACUUCUUAUAUUUCAUUAAGAAUGAAGAGCAACGAUGAGGAAAUCCUAUUAGUAUUUCAAGGCCUAAGCAUAGACGAUAAAGACUAUAAAGCUUAGUACGCCUAAGCUCAGCUUGAUAAAGCCUUGAAAUCUUAUCCUCUUUCGUUCGCAGCGAGCCAAGAUUCAUAAAGGACUGAUUAUAUUAUUCUUCUAUAUUCUAUCUGAUUAUGAAAUAAUAAAGAGGAGCGGCUUGAAUCUUGGACUCCUUUCAAUCGCUUCUCAAAUUCUUUGAGCCUCUCAUUGAUAAGGACUUACGUCGGACUUGUGAAUUCCACUGAUUUGAAUAUGAAAGAUGGAUAUCUAUUGUUCUUGCUGUGUCGGAUGCUGAAUUAUAGACCGAUCGGGAAUGAAUGAAAGGCCGUCGACCUAACCUUUCACUAAAUUCAAGGCGGAGGAGGUUAUAAAAUAACUCGACUGAAAAUAGAGGAGAGGGGCGAAGCCACUCGACUGAGGUUAGGAAGGAGAGGGGCGAAGUGAAGUCCUUAUCCUCAAAUUCAAAGGAGUGAAUUAUGAAAUAACUCGACUCAAAAUAAAAGGUGAGAAGAAGGAUCGAAGAAUUUGAGGCGAAAGGACUGAAUGAAAAUAAAAGAAGGAGUGCAUUAUGAAAUAACUCGACUCAAAAUAGAGGUGAGAAGAAUGAUCGAAGAAUUUGAGGCGAAAGGACUGAAUGAUAAUAUAAGAAGGAGCUCUUAUAGUUAGAAAUAACUCGACUCAAAAUGAUAAGGGUCGAUGCGAAGAAAGUCGACUAAGAAGGAGAGGUGGAAAGAAUUUGCGAGAAGCUCAUUAAAUAAAAACUGAUCCUUAAAAAAGGCUUAAAGGAUCAAAGAAUUUGUGAAAUCCAUAUUAACUUGUCCUUCGGACCGACAAAGAAUAAGACUUAUUCUGAUUCUUAGAGAUUUUGAACAUAAGAGGAUUUCAUUCUUCUUCCUUUGAUAAUCUCCUCUUGCUAUCUAAGAUCUUGUCUUUGGGACUAUUUCGGAUGGGAAGGGAUGGCUAAAAAGCUGCAUCAAGGGAAAUCUCAGGCUUUGAAGCUGAAGCAACUAAAUCUGCUCAAUCAGCAAGUUCCAGCGGCCUUCCUCGAACAAAAGCGUGAAAAACGGAGGCAAAAGCUGUGGUAGCAGCCUCAAAAGUGAGAACUAAAGUAGAUGAUGCGUCGGGCACCACACGGAAAAGUUAGUAUUUUUGACAUCAUGAAAAGAGAGAAAAAAAAAAGAAAUUUGUAAACAAGAUAGCGAGGGGAACCUUCUUAUUUACUUCACUCUCCAGAUCGAAAGCAAGGAUUCUGAGAUGCGGGAUUACCAAUGUCACGAUUGGAAUCUUGAAAGGAAGCUGUGGCAUUUCUGCCUUUCCUCCUUAUUAGGAUUGAAGGAGGCAUGCUAAGUACAGACGAUGGCAUCGAAUGCAAGCUGGUAGUACUAAAUAGCAAGACCAAACAUUAAACCUACUAAAAGAAAAAGAGUUUCAUUUUGAUGGGACUCAUUGCUUUAGAUAAUUCAGUACUCAGUCUAACUGGUACGAAGUCACAGAUAUAACAUAGCCUGGGAAGUUAUGCUUUUGAAGGUAGGAAAGAAUCCUUUCGCCUAUAGAAUUUGGAAUCUCCCCGAUGAAACUUCUCUUUCUCACGAAAAAGUCCAAAGUGGUAUAUGCCCUCCCCACACUUCUGCCUAUUUCUCCGUGAAAAUCGCUUUGAUACGAGCAAACUAUUUGACAAAGAAAAUUCUUGAUGGCCUUGAGCUUUUCCACAAGAGGAACCCUAUGGGAAAAAAUAAGAGACAAGUCUCCAAACUCAAAAGAGUUAGCAAGUUUCCUUUCCCUUUCUAUGCCUUGCUUUCUGGCCACUUCUUUUAUUGAAUUGUAAACAAGUCCUCGAUCAUUCUUUUGAAAUCUUCUUUUUCAACUCAUCUAAAGCUUGAUUUCUGUCUUAUGGAACCUUCUCAAUCUUCUUUGACUUUGUUUUGGGGAAGGACUGUACCCCCGUCCGAAGGACUCAUUCAUCCAUAUUCACGACGGCGGAGGACGAGUCUCAUUCCACUAUUCGUUCGAAGGACUAUACAUCCUAUUUCUUUAGGAGGACUUCUUUAUCCAUAUUCAUGAGCCGAAGGACUAUUCAACCUAUUACUUUGUCAAUAUGCCUAUUCUUUUCUUUGGUCUGAAGGACUUGUUUAUAUCCAUAUUAAUCUAUGGAUAAAAGAGGUGCCUAGGUUCAAAGAAUGAUCGCGUCUUAUCUACUUAGAUUAUUACUUUUGAGAUCAAUCAUAUUUCAUUGAUCCUUUCACUCUUUGUACUUGGAUUUGAUUCCAUUCGGAUUGCUCGAAUCUUAGAUAUUAUGUCAACUUCAAUCUUCUUGGAUAGGGUUUUCAACUCCUACGGAGCCUCUCCUCCGGACGUGAAGAAGAAGAUCGACUCUUAUCAAUGAAUAAAGGCGCAAAGAAUUUGCGAAUUUGAGGGGUUGACAGCUGCAAUUACUAAAGCAACUAAAGCUCUUACAACAAACUUUUGAAACCUUUUCAGGAACUACUACUUCCACAGCCAUAGACUCUGACUGAGGCUUCCGCUUCUCUGGGGCUAACUGUUCUUUAACCCUUCUUUUUGAAGAAUCCUACUCCUAACCCAAUGGCCCAUCUCACUACGGCAACUCGGUCUCGUGAAAGCGAUGACGCUGCUGCCUCUUACCUCGUUACUACUGAGAAAUUUACAUUUCAGUAGAAAGAAGAAAUAGCUUUUCCUUUCUCGCAUUUCCCUCAUUUAUCAUAAACGAAAGAAUCUACCCACGGAGCGGUACGGGGUGGGCUUCGGUGGGGUUCCCAACCUUUGGUCUCGGCUUGCCUCCGCUUGUGAUCAGAAUUUAGUGGCAUCUAGCCCCGUAGCGAAACCUGAUCCAUUUUCAGAUGAAAAAGACAUUCAUUCAGGUUGGGUCUGUCUUUCGUUCUUCUUGAAUUUCAUUCAUCAAAUCGUCAGAGCGAAGGGUCAAAGAAUGAUCGAGGAGUUGCUUUCCCUAUGAUAGAAUGGGAUCGACCGAAGUUGAAUCAAAAUGACUGCAAUUUCGAGAGGAUUAGGAGAUAGAUAUCUAAGAACAAAUCAAUGAUUCCACUCUUUGAACAAUCAAUGAACAAGGCUCCAUAAGAGAAAGGGGUAUCGUGAAAGACUAAAUUAAUGAACAAAGGUUGAGGCAUCCUCCGGACUAUGAAUCAUAUAUAUUUUGAUUAAUGUAACCACAUAUGUCUAAUGUUUCUGACUCCUUUGGACUGAGAACAAAGGUCGAGGCGUCCUCCGGACUAUGAAAUCUAUUACAAAGGUUGAGGCGAGACUGAAAGGUCCGAAGCAACUUGACUUAAAAUCAAAGGAGCGGUUAGGAGUUGAGAAGAUAAGAAGAGAAAACAAGUCCUUCGGACUAAGAAGAAUUUGAGAAAAAAGAAAGAGAGAAGAAAAGUUCAUAUGUCCUUAUCAAUGAGACUGAUCGAUGAUCGAUGUUGUUGUCAAAUUCCUUAUAUAUAUGUCUUUUUGAGACUGAUGACAGAAAAGGAAGUGUCACCGAGAGGAACUGGUAUUGAAUCAGAAGAUUAGGCAUACGAGGAUGAUAUGGAGCAAAGCCCGAACUAUCUAUCUAUGAUUGGAAGAAAUGCCUCUCUUCUGAGAAUUAAAGUGGAAUGAGUUCCAUCCAGAGUCAAAUUUGGGAGAGAAGGACCGAAAGGCUUUGACUGAAAUUCCGAGGAAGACCAAGGAGCGGUAGUAGAGGGCCAAGGAAUUCCCAGUUGAGUAAGAGGUUAUCAUACGCGCCUCUUGAACAAGAAAAAAAGCUCUUUCCCUAAUUGAGGGAGAGGAAGAAGAAUAGCAGAGUUCCAGAGAGUAAGCAUAACAAGAAUCGGAAGCAUAAUUGAUGUCUGACCUUCAUUCAUGAAAGAAUGGAAUGUGAAUUUUGCACCUCAGUCUCAAAUCGAGUCAAAUCACAGUCUGAAUUUUCUAGGACCAGUGAACUCAUCACCUUUCUUUUAACCUGGGGACUGAGGAUGAGGAUAGGAGAAGAACUUCUACCAAGAAAAAAUUCAUUACCCCCAUGAAAUCACCCCAUUUUGAUGAUAAGGAAAUUCUAUUAUCAAUCUGACUAGGAAUUCUGACUGAAUUAAGAAUGAGAACUUUCGAUACAUAUUCAAUAGUUCAGUCAGUCGUCUACACCAUACUUUGACGAAGCGAUUUUGAGAUCAGUUGAUAGGAGGCUGCAUCUCCGGGACCGCAGUCCACUAUUGGUGGAGAGCUAGGCGUCCACUUUCUUUGAUCAAAGAAGGUGGGAACUCUCUGACGAUAUUCAAAAAUUCUGAUUAAUCACUCCCCAUAUUUUUAUGAUUUCUAAGACUAUUACAAAAGGGGUCGAGUUCCCACUGGGACUGAGAAAGAUCGACCUAUUUCUUCUUAUUCUAUUAUGAUGAAUAUACGAAAGACGGACCCCUAUGAGUUCGCUCUUGAGGCUAGGGCUAACCUCGUCAACUCAGUAAAGAUCAAUUCCCCAGCUAGGUUGCUUUGGCUACCCUCCCUGAACCUGAAACCUCUAUCAAGCCAAUUCCAAGGCCCAUCGGUUGAGGCCUCCUCAGUCUCGAUCCUGAAGACUGAUUUAUAAGUUGAACGAACUCCUAAACCUCCAAGUCUGAUGAAUGAAAGGCUCAUGAGGUUUGAUCUCAUAUCUAUUUAUGAGGUUCAGGCCUUUGAAAUCUGAUUCUUCGAAUUCUGAUCUUCUUUCUUCUAUCCUCAGUCCUCUCUCUCCUAUCAUCUUUACGGGAAUGAUAUCUAUCUUCAUUCUUGAGAAUUGCUAUAGAUUCUUAGUAUUCAUGGGGGGUGGCGAGGUUGCGUCCUUCUUUUCUUGCAUCCGAACUAGGUUCUGCUAUGGCUUGAAUCCAUGACCCCAUCCUACUCCUUCAUAGAAUAUUGAGAAUCUUUUCAGAAAAGCGAGACCAAGGGUUCUGGCCACUGACCCUACUUCAAUACCAGGCAAUAUCCGCAACCUUGGCUACUUCCUGUGCUCAUUCUCUCAUUCCCUUUCCCAGAUUUCUCCUCACCCUGAUCCGAUUUCUCACGAUCUCAAGGCUCCACGUCCGAAUCCUAUAUGCUUACCCUCUAGUGGACUUCAACUCAAGGGCUCUCGUCUCAUUCAGGAUUCUUCUUGCUAUCCCACCAGUUCUUAUCAAGAAGGAGAGAAAGAAUCUCCUCAGCGGGUAGCUCGAGCGGACUCAGUCUGGGGACUUCAAGAAUGAAAGAGAUUGUCGAUUUUCAAAAAUGGGAAUGAAGUCUAUUAAUCCAGAGGAUGGGGACAUGUCCCCAGGGCCUUAGCCUGAGAUCUUUGGUCCUCUAAAUUGGGUCCAUUUCGCUCCGUGGGAUGAGUAGUUAGUUCUCCAACUUCCAUUGAUUGGGAAUCUUUCUUCGUAGAAUACAGUCUUAGACUGAUUCUCGGAUAUAUCAUACCAUAACAGCUCUGAUCCUAGCACACAUCACCUCGGGCCACCUUAGAGCUGAUACCCUACUGAUCUGCCUUUUCCUAUAGAAUAAGUAGUUGUAUGGGUUGCCUACUUCUUUAUUCAUUUGAGACUAUAAUGAAAGAAAAAGUACUUCUGAUGCCUGGAUCUGGUCCUAAUCUUUCGAUCCUAUUCAUCUAUCUUCUGCUUGAGGGGCUAGGUAAUCUCAUCUGUAACCUCUUCCGAAAGAGAUAGAUCGACCGCUUGAGCUCCGUAGGAGCAGUCUGAUUUUCUUCUUCCCCUCCGAAGGCGCAAAGAAUCUUGCCUUUUCCGUUAGCUUUCUUUUUAUAAUGUAGAUGUAGAAAAGAUGGAACUCAAAGGAGAAAAAGCAACCUUCUUACCAGUUUCAUAGGUUCCGGAAGAGGCUAAGGAAAUCUAGAAGAAUUCUCUCCUUCGUAGAAUAGGACUGAAGUAGAUUAAGACUGCGAGACUGAUUCAUAACCUUGUGUAUUAGAUCUUUUCGAUGUCAGUAAGAAGGCCUAUACAUUGGGUCGGACGUCGCCUGCAUCAUCAAAUAAGUAGGGGAAUGAGAGAGAAGAUGCCUCCUAUCCGACCUCUAGAAAGAGAGAAUACGAGGUCUAAAAGGUGCGACUAAAGGUCAAAAAAGCUUGACCGAUAAUCAAGGUCUGAAUAGGUAAUUCUUCUCAGUGUUAGCGAACGGAACUAUACCCCCUACUCUCUUUCAUUCUUCGUUGAGGAAGGUUAGACACAGCAAAGACGUCAAUAUCUUUGAGUUCGGUCUUGAAGUUAGAUCCGUUUAAUGAGAUCUUUCUCAUGCAAGGAAGUUUUCUUGAAAUUCUUGUAUGCUAACCUCCCGUGUCGUGAAUGGUUCUGGGAUUUCUCUUUCGAAAUGAGAGGAAGGAUCCUGCUCUGCUUCCUCCUCUUAAGGUUCGUGUUGGUCAUGGUCGGUUGGGGAGCUCUCUGUUCUUGGAAGUGAAACCUGAAUCCUGGUAUGGAAUCCAGCCCCCUUAUUCAUUGAUUGUUCAUAUACCAUAUUUUGCAUAAUUGCUUAUAAAUAAGCGCUAGUUCUGACAUCCACUACAUCAACAAGAACUACAACUUCUUAAAGAGAAAGAACUAAAGCAAGAGCGCAAACCUAAAGGCACAGUGCCAGUGCCUACUGCGCCUCCUUCAAUCGCGGAAUAGAAUAUGGAAGAAAGCCCCUAGCAAGAGAACCUUCCUUCUUAUUGGAGAAGAGGAGUUCAAGAGUAGAAAUCAUGGGAUUUCUCUUUCAAAGUGGAGCCUUUUUUUGUAUAAACGGGAUAAAGAUGCUCCGUAGGAGGUUUUGAUGGUAGUCAAGAUUAUGAAAAAGAUUUGAAAAGACUUCAAUGACACAGGUUCAGACGUUUUGAUGAUUGACUUGACUAUUACUUUGAAGAGAAGUUGCUCAAAAGGAGCCUUCUACGCGGCACUACAGAAUUCUGGAAUGAACAGGCUUUUAGUGGAAUUAAGCUAGUUCGAACUCUCAUUGAUAAGGACAUAUAUAUGAACCUCUUCCAUGAAUGAGUCCUUCGCUUUCAGAGUCCUAACCUUUGUAUCCUCAUUAAUAAGGACAUAUUCAUAUUCCACUACGGACCGGACCAGGGACCGGAGCAGUUCAAAGACUAUUAUUUCAGAUGAGAGAAGAGGAGUCAAUGAACAAGGGAGAACAACUCAUCUAGAGCUUUAUUUGACUACGCGGUAAGGCAGAGUAAAGAGUUGACAGACGCAUGCGAAAGGAAGCGACCACUUAUGGCAAGGCACCUAGACCAAGGUUAGAAUAGAAGCCAAGCGCAUUUAUAUAAGUUCAGAAGAAAAGACGUUUUGAUGAUUGACUUGACUAUGAAAAAUAAUAUCAGAAGAAUUAUGGAAUGAACCAAAGAAGAGAAGCUGUUAAUAUGGAUAAACAAGUCGACUCCACAGGAGGCUCCAUAGGAGAUUCUUUGCCGUAGGUAAGACUAUUACAAUCAAUGAUUGAGGCUCAAAGAAUAUUGAGGGAAUGAACGAGUCAAGAGGUUAUAUAAUAUAGAAAGAAGAAAGACAACUCCUUCUACGCAGUCUUGAUAAUUUUCAAAGACGACCUACGACACUACAUAAGACUCUUAUUACGGGGAAGCAAAAGCUGCUCGACAUUACUAAUUUUAAACUGAGUCACUCACUGAGCUUUACAGCUCACCCUUUCCAAAAUGUUUUACCCAUUUUCCAGGUAGAGAUCGAGUUCCCGUUGCCUGAUAGACUGCCUUAGUCUGCUGAAGCUCCAUUAUCGAUUGUAGAAAUCGAGUUCCCGCUGCCUGAUAGACUGCCUUAGUCUGCUGAAGCUCCGUUAUCGAUUCUCGAUGAGAUCUUUUGUACAUCGGGGAAUAGUCUUUACCCAUCGAGUAUCUGAGCCUAAAGUCCAAAGACAAAGGUUGUGGAAUCUAAGUUUGUAUUUGAAGCCAAGUUCAUCCAAGUCAUUGAGUUUCUAGCUUCUUUAAGUUGAUAAAAGAGCAAUUGUACAAAGCCUAAGAAUGUCAUCUGAUCAAGACACAACAAGCUUGAAUUAUUUAGAUUAUUCUAACAAAUUUUGUAACAACGGAUGGUAGGUUGAUCAUUGUGUUGGGUUGAAUGAUAUUAGUGACUAUCUUUUGUGAGAAUACUUAAUCGCAUAAAUAACAUUUUGUAUAGGGCAAUACGAAUCUUUUAUGAAAAUAACAUAAAUAAC
RNA transcript from Cucumis melo (muskmelon), 9854 nucleotides. RefSeq lists it as uncharacterized. The record is from RefSeq and is a predicted model, not a curated record. NCBI's taxonomy places the organism in Eukaryota, Viridiplantae, Streptophyta, Magnoliopsida, Cucurbitales, Cucurbitaceae. The transcript has 5 exons.